CUGGCUCAGGAUGAACGCUGGCGGCGUGCUUAAUACAUGCAAGUCGAACGAAGCACUUCAAGCGGAGACCUUCGGGUCGAAGCCGGUUGUGACUUAGUGGCGGACGGGUGAGUAACGCGUGGGUAACCUGCCUCAUACAGGGGGACAACAGCUGGAAACGGCUGCUAAUACCCCAUAAGCGCACAGUGCCGCAUGACACGGUGUGAAAAGAUUUAUCGGUAUGAGAUGGACCCGCGUCCGAUUAGUUAGUUGGCGGGGUAACGGCCCACCAAGACCGCGAUCGGUAGCCGACUUGAGAGAGUGAUCGGCCACAUUGGGACUGAGACACGGCCCAGACUCCUACGGGAGGCAGCAGUAGGGAAUAUUGCACAAUGGGGGAAACCCUGAUGCAGCCGACGCCGCGUGGGUGAUGAAGCAUUUCGGUGCGUAAAGCCCUAUCAGCAGGGAAGAUAAUGACGGUACCUGACUAAGAAGCCCCGGCUAACUACGUGCCAGCCGCUGC
RNAcentral lists this ribosomal RNA (502 nucleotides) under uncultured bacterium. Its description in RNAcentral is "bacterial SSU rRNA". It matches the Rfam family "Bacterial small subunit ribosomal RNA", at positions 19 to 518 of the family's 1533-position model. The record is from RNAcentral.